UUUAAUGAUGAUUUAAACAUUCUUCACUUUGACCUGAUUUGUCUUGUGAUGAUAAACUUCAGUCUGAUA
Molecule: small nucleolar RNA, 69 nt
Organism: Triplophysa rosa
Lineage: Eukaryota; Metazoa; Chordata; Actinopteri; Cypriniformes; Nemacheilidae
Product: small nucleolar RNA SNORD37
Exons: 1
Source: RefSeq, a predicted model, not a curated record